RNAcentral lists this unclassified non-coding RNA (391 nucleotides) under soil metagenome. RNAcentral describes it as "partial contains 5.8S ribosomal RNA, internal transcribed spacer 2, and large subunit ribosomal RNA". The stretch from base 1 to 122 matches the Rfam family "5.8S ribosomal RNA", at positions 35 to 154 of the family's 154-position model. The record is from RNAcentral.
GAUGAAGAACGCAGCGAAAUGCGAUACUUGGUGUGAAUUGCAGAAUCCCGUGAACCAUCGAGUCUUUGAACGCAAGUUGCGCCCGAAGCCACUAGGCCGAGGGCACGCCUGCCUGGGCGUCACACGCCGUUGCCCCCCCAUCUACUCCUUCGGGAUUGCGGGGGGGCGGAUGAUGGCCUCCCGUGCGCCUAGCCGCGCGGUUGGCAUAAAUACCAAGUCCUCGGCGACGCACGCCACGACAAUCGGUGGUUGCGAAACCUCGGUUGCCCGUCGUGUGCGUUCGUCGCGCAUCGAGGGCUCGAAAAAAUGCUCGGCUCCGGCUGGGCUUUCAACGCGACCCCAGGUCAGGCGGGGUUACCCGCUGAAUUUAAGCAUAUCAGUAAGCGGAGGA